RNAcentral lists this unclassified non-coding RNA (347 nucleotides) under soil metagenome. RNAcentral describes it as "partial contains 5.8S ribosomal RNA, internal transcribed spacer 2, and large subunit ribosomal RNA". The stretch from base 1 to 120 matches the Rfam family "5.8S ribosomal RNA", at positions 35 to 154 of the family's 154-position model. The record is from RNAcentral.
GAUGAAGAACGCAGUGAAAUGCGAUAAUUUAUGUGAAUUGCAGAAUUCAGUGAAUCAUCGAGUCUUUGAACGCACAUUGCGCCCCCUGGUAUUCCGGGGGGCAUGCCUGUCCGAGCGUCAUUGCUGCCCUCAAGCACGGCUUGUGUGUUGGGCUUCCGUCCCUGGCAACGGGGACGGGCCCAAAAGGCAGUGGCGGCACCAUGUCUGGUCCUCGAGCGUAUGGGGCUUUGUCACCCGCUCCCGUAGGUCCAGCUGGCAGCUAGCCUCGCAACCAAUCUUUUUAACCAGGUUGACCUCGGAUCAGGUAGGGAUACCCGCUGAACUUAAGCAUAUCAAUAAGCGGAGGA